This 85-nucleotide transfer RNA is filed under the name Gammaproteobacteria bacterium. RNAcentral's name for it is "tRNA-Tyr". It matches the Rfam family "tRNA". From Rfam's summary of the family: Transfer RNA (tRNA) molecules are approximately 80 nucleotides in length. Their secondary structure includes four short double-helical elements and three loops (D, anti-codon, and T loops). Further hydrogen bonds mediate the characteristic L-shaped molecular structure. tRNAs have two regions of fundamental functional importance: the anti-codon, which is responsible for specific mRNA codon recognition, and the 3' end, to which the tRNAs corresponding amino acid is attached (by aminoacyl-tRNA synthetases). tRNAs cope with the degeneracy of the genetic code in two manners: having more than one tRNA (with a specific anti-codon) for a particular amino acid; and 'wobble' base-pairing, i.e. permitting non-standard base-pairing at the 3rd anti-codon position. Lineage: Bacteria; Pseudomonadati; Pseudomonadota; Gammaproteobacteria. The record is from RNAcentral. RNAcentral also lists the same sequence under 1 other name.
GGAGGGAUGUCCGAGCGGUCAAAGGAAGCAGACUGUAAAUCUGCCGGCUAUGCCUACGCUGGUUCGAAUCCAGCUCCCUCCACCA